RNAcentral lists this ribosomal RNA (406 nucleotides) under uncultured bacterium. RNAcentral's name for it is "partial 16S ribosomal RNA". It matches the Rfam family "Bacterial small subunit ribosomal RNA", at positions 29 to 525 of the family's 1533-position model. The record is from RNAcentral.
AUUGAACGCUGGCGGCAGGCCUAACACAUGCAAGUCGAGCGGAGCGGCGGACGGGUGAGUAAUGCCUGGGAAUCUGCCUGGUAGUGGGGGCUAACGUCCGGAAACGGGCGCUAAUACCGCAUACUAUCAGAUGAGCCUAGGUCGGAUUAGCUAGUUGGUGGGGUAAAGGCCUACCAAGGCGACGCUCCGUAACUGGUCUGAGAGGAUGAUCCGUCACACGGGAAAUGAGACACGGUCCAGACUCCUACGGGAGGCAGCAGGGGGGAAUAGUGGACAAUGGGCGAAAGCCUGAUCCAGCCAUGCCGAGUGUGUGAAGAAGGUCUUCGGAUUGGAAAGCACUUUAAGUUGGGAGGCGGUACCAACAGAAGAAGCACCGGCUAACUUCGUGCCAGCAGCCGCGGUAAUA